CACAAAUCAUAGAUUCAUCCAUUAUAUUUGCUAAAAUACAAACCAGCGUUUAUAAUAUCAUUAGUGCAUGCAAUAAUAAUGCAAACAGAGAAAAAAAACACAUAACAAACUCGACAGACUUAACGAAUUAUGAUUAUAUUUAUUGGAAUCACAUAGAAACACACAUACAUACACACUACGAGAAAAGAACAAAGUUUCUUCCAAAGUACUAAGUUUAAAUAAACUGAAGCUGAAGAAGAAGAAGCAGAAGAAUAAAGAGGUGAUGGAAUCAGUCACGAGUCUCGUGGAACCUUCUGAUGAAAUCAGUGGAUUUCCGGUUAAUAGCCGGUUCGACGACGUACCAAUUAUAGAAGUUGCCUUCACUAUCUUCACCAUACAUCUCGUCGUCUGUUCCCGCCGGGUUUGAUCGCUGCCUUCUCCUCCACCAUGCUUUGAAGCUGCCGAAGAAGCUAAACAAGAAACGCCAAGAACCUCCCAUUAUAAUCCUAUAUAGAGAGGAAAAUACGUUAGAGAGAUAUAGAUGUGUCUUGCUUGUAUUUAUUUAAAGAUGCAUAUAAGCAUGUGAAGGAACGUG
Molecule: long non-coding RNA, 574 nt
Filed under: Brassica napus (rape)
Lineage: Eukaryota; Viridiplantae; Streptophyta; Magnoliopsida; Brassicales; Brassicaceae
Description: long non-coding RNA (BNAP_LNC012031)
Source: RNAcentral